RNAcentral lists this microRNA (22 nucleotides) under Equus caballus (horse). Its description in RNAcentral is "eca-miR-9131". Lineage: Eukaryota; Metazoa; Chordata; Mammalia; Perissodactyla; Equidae. The record is from miRBase by way of RNAcentral.
UGGAGGCGGUAACUGACGGUCC